GGACACUGGGUUCCCUACGAGCUGCCCCAGGCUUAAUGAUUGUCCAGAAGGUGGCUAUAAAGGGAGCCUGGGAGGCUGGGUGGAGGAGGGAACAGAGAAAGCCUAACUCAGCAGAUCUGGUCACUGAGAGAGCCACAGGCAGGAGCUGUGGUCGGAGGCUUCGUGUCUUGGCCAGUGGGGCCUGCUCCCUUCCACCAUGGCCGCCCAAGGCUACGGCUAUUACCGCGCUGUGAUCUUCUCAGCCAUGUUUGGAGGCUACAGCCUGUACUACUUCAACCGCAAGACCUUCUCCUUUGUCAUGCCAUCGUUGGUGGAGGAGAUCCCUCUGGACAAGGACGACUUGGGUGAGCCACGGAAGGGCAGGGUGGUGGGCCCUGGGACCCAGGACCCGUAGGACAAGUUGGUGUUGGUGGCAGUGUUGUGCAUAAAGGCACGUAGCGUGUGUGGAGCGUCUGCACAGUGGAGGGUAGGGAGAGUCGGCACACGCCGACCGGACUCUGAAAACCAUACGCCUGGCUGUGGGCUAAGCACCAGGAGUGUCGUCGAUACGCGUCUGAGGAGGGCUGCCUAUGUGAUGUGUCUUUGUGUGCCUGUGACCCACACGUGCCCCCACAGGUCUGGCUUAUUCCGAGUAUGUUUAGGGGGCUUCUGGGCAUGGUUUCCACACCUCGUGGGUGCGUGCUAAGACCACAGGGUGCACGCUGGCCACUGACGUCGUAAGCAAUGGGAACUGGAGACUUGGCACAGAAACUUCACGUGGCCCCGCACGCUACAUUUCAGGGGGAAUAACGUCCUUGAUUCCAAUUCUAAGCUCUUUGCCCCAUGCCCAGAGGUGGGGGUGACGGAACUGCUAGAAGCCCUGGGUCGGCAUCCAGGGUGAGGAGGAAAUGUAAUCAGGCAUGGGUAGAUCCCAGGGUGGGGCUGCCCUGUUCUCCCCUUCUUGCCCCCUGACAGCUGCAGCUGGAACUCUCCAGGUUGAAAAGUCAAGGGUCAGCCUGGGGCUAGCGCCGGCGGUGAGGAGGGGUAGCGGCGCCCCUGAAAGGGUGCUGGGAUUCCAACACAGGCUGCUUCUGGUCCCCUUGGAAGGAACCUAUCUCACCCUGCCAGGCACCUCUACACACGUGACCCCAUGCCUUCCUCCAUCCCUCCUGUGCCCUUGCCCUGGCCCCUAACCCCCUAGGUGUGCUGCUUCCUGCUCCCCUCCCCUGCAGGGCUCAUCACCAGCAGCCAGUCGGCAGCCUACGCCAUCAGCAAGUUUGUGAGCGGGGUGCUGUCUGACCAGAUGAGUGCCCGCUGGCUCUUCUCUUCUGGGCUGCUUCUGGUCGGCCUGGUCAACGUAGUCUUUUCCUGGAGCUCCAUGGUACCUGUCUUUGCUGCUCUCUGGUUCCUCAAUGGCC
Molecule: long non-coding RNA, 1397 nt
Filed under: Lynx pardinus (Iberian lynx)
Lineage: Eukaryota; Metazoa; Chordata; Mammalia; Carnivora; Felidae
Source: RNAcentral